RNAcentral lists this small RNA (68 nucleotides) under uncultured Pseudomonas sp. RNAcentral describes it as "Pseudomonas sRNA P10". It matches the Rfam family "Pseudomonas sRNA P10". The record is from RNAcentral. Lineage: Bacteria; Pseudomonadati; Pseudomonadota; Gammaproteobacteria; Pseudomonadales; Pseudomonadaceae.
AGCGAUCCAACCACCUGCCCCGUACCCGGUCAUGGCACACCAGCGAUCCAGUCCGGUUCCCCCGACGU